UACGGAAGGCAGCAGUGGGGAAUAUUGCACAAUGGGCGAAAGCCUGAUGCAGCUAUGCCGCGUGUAUGAAGAAGGCCUUAGGGUUGUAAAGUACUUUCAUCGGGGAGGAAAAAACAAAACUAAUAAUUUUAUUUCUUGACGUUACCCGAAAAAGAAGCACCGGCUAACUCCGUGCCAGCAGCCGCGGUAAUACGGAGGGUGCUAGCGUUAAUCAGAAUUACUGGGCGUAAAGAGCACGUAGGUGGUUUUUUUAAGUCAGAUGUGAAAUCCCUGGGCUUAACCUAGGAACUGCAUUUUGAAAACUGAAAUACUAGAGUAUCGUAGAGGGAGGUAGAAUUCUAGGUGUAGCGGUGAAAUGCGUAGAUAUCUGGAGGAAUACCUGUGGCGAAAGCGGCCUCCUAAACGAAUACUGACACUGAGGUGCGAAAGCGUGGGGAGCAAAACAGGGAUUAGAUACC
This 458-nucleotide ribosomal RNA is filed under the name uncultured bacterium. Its description in RNAcentral is "bacterial SSU rRNA". It matches the Rfam family "Bacterial small subunit ribosomal RNA", at positions 340 to 786 of the family's 1533-position model. The record is from RNAcentral.